UAGUGACAAUAAAUAACAAUAUAGGGCUCUUUUGGGUCUUAUAAUUGCAAUGAGUACAAUUUAAAUCCCUUAACGAGGAUCAAUUGGAGGGCAAGUCUGGUGCCAGCAGCCGCGGUAAUUCCAGCUCCAAUAGCGUAUACUAAAGUUGUUGCCGUUAAAAAGCUCGUAGUCGAACUUCGGCCUUUGCCGCCCGGUCCGCCUAUUUGGUGUGUACUGGAGCGGUGGAGGCCUACCUCGUGGUGAACAGCUAUGCCCUUUACUGGGUGUGGUUGGGAACCAUGACUUUUACCUUGAAAAAAUUAGAGUGUUCAAAGCAGGCUUACGCCCGAAUACAUUAGCAUGGAAUAAUAAAAUAGGACGUGCGGUUCUAUUUUGUUGGUUUCUAGGAUCGCCGUAAUGAUUAAUAGGGAUAGUUGGGGGCAUUCGUAUUCAAUUGCUAGAGGUGAAAUUCUUGGAUUUAUUGAAGACGAACUACUGCGAAAGCAUUUGCCAAGGAUGUUUUCAUUGAUCAAGAACGAAGGUUAGGGGAUCGAAAACGAUCAGAUACCGUUGUAGUCUUAACAGUAAACGAUGCCGACUAGGGAUCGGACGAGGCUUUUUAAUGACUCGUUCGGCACCUGAAGAGAAAUCUUUAAGUCUAGGUUCGGGGGGGAGUAUGGUCGCAAGGCUGAAACUUAAAGGAAUUGACGGAAGGGCACCACCAUGGUGUGGAGCCUGCGGCUUAAUUUGACUCAACACGGGGAAACUCACCAGGUCCAGACACGACAAGGAUUGACAGAUUGAUAGCUCUUUCUUGAUUUCGUGGUUGGUGGUGCAUGGCCGUUCUUAGUUGGUGGAGUGAUUUGUCUGGUUAAUUCCGAUAACGAACGAGACCUUAACCUGCUAAAUAGCCCGGCCGACUUUGGUUGGUCGCUGGCUUCUUAGAGGGACUAUCGGCGUUUAGCCGAUGGAAGUUUGA
Molecule: ribosomal RNA, 958 nt
Filed under: Microsporomycetaceae sp.
Lineage: Eukaryota; Fungi; Basidiomycota; Cystobasidiomycetes; Cystobasidiales; Microsporomycetaceae
Description: SSU rRNA
Rfam family: Eukaryotic small subunit ribosomal RNA
Source: RNAcentral